This 60-nucleotide transfer RNA is filed under the name Dipodomys ordii (Ord's kangaroo rat). It matches the Rfam family "tRNA", at positions 7 to 64 of the family's 71-position model. Rfam says of the family: Transfer RNA (tRNA) molecules are approximately 80 nucleotides in length. Their secondary structure includes four short double-helical elements and three loops (D, anti-codon, and T loops). The record is from Rfam by way of RNAcentral. Lineage: Eukaryota; Metazoa; Chordata; Mammalia; Rodentia; Heteromyidae.
GUAGCUCAGCGGUAGAAUGCAUGCCUUGCAAGCAUGAAGCCCUGGGUUCGAUUCCUCAGC